AGACAAGACAGGUCGACUCCAUUUUCCUCCUCUCAUACAGUUCUACGCGUCAUGCUGCAGUUUGGAGGAGCAACUCCGCAACCAACAGGGUCAGCAGCCAUAACUCCUUGCUGUUGGGCGUCAGAAGAGCAAGAUUGACAGCUUCUACAUCACCAUGGGUGUCACGGGUCGCCUACAACCAAUUCUUCAAAAGUCCACAACCAGCAGUUUAUCCAUGAGGUAACACAACAUUUGUGGGAAGACUGAACCACAUCUCUGGUUCAAGACAGAUGACACCUGUGGGUAAUUUUGUCUUUGUAAAUUAAAGCGCAAACUCUUGGCAUCAAAUGGGAGCAAACGGUGAUCGUGUCCUCCUGGUGAGUCAAGGAGAAGCAGGUGACAGACACAUAUCAGCCUCAGGUAACACCAUCAGAGUGAGGAAGGUAAGAGAGAGGGGUGAAUGAUAUGUAAGAAUAGGAGGGAAGGAGAGAGGGAUGGUGUCAGUUGCUCCUUUUUUCUUCCUUGACAUUAAACGUCCUUGACAUAGGUGUAAUGAUACUACUCUUAAUCUUUACCUCUUCGUAACGCCACCUUUACCUCAGAUCUACAUGCAACAGACCUAUAUGUCAUGUGUUCGUAUUCAAUGCGAUCCUCAGCUGAACCCAAUGUUCCAUAUUCACUGAGCCGCGUUUAGCAAAAUGGAGAACCAAACUGCCGAAACUACAAUCAUCAUUUGUCAUGGUCUCAGCGUUGCUGUCAGUCAUUGAUGGGUUGGUGAUUCUCUCUCUCUGGGCCUCAACACUGACACAAACACCUUCACCUUUAUGGGAUUUAUUGGGAUCAGAGUGACACUCACAGCAGAUCUGCAACAUUAACAUUCAAGUUAGCGUUUAUUUGAAUCGCUUCACAAUGUUUGAACAUCAGGGCUCCACAUAUCGAAAGACAAUGGUGAAAAUUGGAUGGCAGGUGUGUCACCUGGUUUCACUGUUAUGUGAGCACUGGCAAAAAACAAACAAAC
This is a long non-coding RNA of Solea solea (common sole), 997 nucleotides long. RefSeq lists it as uncharacterized. Lineage: Eukaryota; Metazoa; Chordata; Actinopteri; Pleuronectiformes; Soleidae. The record is from RefSeq and is a predicted model, not a curated record. The transcript is spliced from 3 exons.